UAUCGGUGAUGGAUGGGGAUGCGUCUGAUUAGCUUGUUGGCGGGGUAACGGCCCACCAAGGCGACGAUCAGUAGGGGUUCUGAGAGGAAGGUCCCCCACAUUGGAACUGAGACACGGUCCAAACUCCUACGGGAGGCAGCAGUGAGGAAUAUUGGUCAAUGGACGAGAGUCUGAACCAGCCCAAGUAGCGUGCAGGAUGACGGCCCUAUGGGUUGUAAACUGCUUUUAUAAGGGAAUAAAGUGAGCCUCGUGAGGCUUUUUGCAUGUACCUUAUGAAUAAGGACCGGCUAAUUCCGUGCCAGCAGCCGCGGUAAUACGGAAGGUCCGGGCGUUAUCCGGAUUUAUUGGGUUUAAAGGGAGCGUAGGCCGGAGAUUAAGCGUGUUGUGAAAUGUAGACGCUCAACGUCUGCACUGCAGCGCGAACUGGUUUCCUUGAGUACGCACAAAGUGGGCGGAAUUCGUGGUGUAGCGGUGAAAUGCUUAGAUAUCACGAAGAACUCCGAUUGCGAAGGCAGCUCACUGGAGCGCAACUGACGCUGAAGCUCGAAAGUGCGGGUAUCGAACAGGAUUAGAUACCCUGGUAGUCCGCACGGUAAACGAUGGAUGCCCGCUGUUGGUCUGAAUAGGUCAGCGGCCAAGCGAAAGCAUUAAGCAUCCCACCUGGGGAGUAC
RNAcentral lists this ribosomal RNA (671 nucleotides) under uncultured bacterium. RNAcentral's name for it is "bacterial SSU rRNA". It matches the Rfam family "Bacterial small subunit ribosomal RNA", at positions 213 to 883 of the family's 1533-position model. The record is from RNAcentral.